AGCGAACGCUGGCGGCAGGCCUAACACAUGCAAGUCGAACGGAUCCUUCGGGAUUAGUGGCGGACGGGUGAGUAACACGUGGGAACGUGCCCUUUGGUUCGGAACAACUCAGGGAAACUUGAGCUAAUACCGGAUGUGCCCUUCGGGGGAAAGAUUUAUCGCCAUUGGAGCGGCCCGCGUCUGAUUAGCUAGUUGGUGAGGUAACGGCCCACCAAGGCGACGAUCAGUAGCUGGUCUGAGAGGAUGAUCAGCCACACUGGGACGGAGACACGGCCCAGACUCCUACGGGAGGCAGCAGAGGGGAAUCUUGCGCAAUGGGCGAAAGCCUGACGCAGCCAUGCCGCGUGAAUGAUGAAGGUCUUAGGAUUGUAAAAUUCUUUCAGCGGUGACGAUAAUGACGGUACCCGCAGAAGAAGCUCCGGCUAACUUCGUG
RNAcentral lists this ribosomal RNA (433 nucleotides) under uncultured bacterium. RNAcentral describes it as "partial 16S ribosomal RNA". It matches the Rfam family "Bacterial small subunit ribosomal RNA", at positions 29 to 507 of the family's 1533-position model. The record is from RNAcentral.